GAUGAAGAACGCAGUGAAAUGCGAUAAGUAGUGUGAAUUGCAGAAUUCAGUGAAUCAUCGAAUCUUUGAACGCACAUUGCGCCUCCUGGUAUUCCGGGAGGCAUGCCUGUUCGAGCGUCAUUAAAAUCACUCAAGCUUAGGUUUACCUAUUGCUUGGUCUUGGAGAUGGAAGCCAAUUCAUUGGAAUCCUCUUCGAAAUCCAAUGGCGAAGACCCUUGCUCUCCCAAGUGUAGUAAUAACUUAUGUCACUGAAGGAAGCGAGAAAUCUUCCGCCGUAACCCCCAUAUUUUCUAUGAUUGACCUCGGAUCAGGUAGGGAUACCCGCUGAACUUAAGCAUAUCAUAAGCGGAGGA
This 353-nucleotide unclassified non-coding RNA is filed under the name soil metagenome. RNAcentral's name for it is "partial contains 5.8S ribosomal RNA, internal transcribed spacer 2, and large subunit ribosomal RNA". The stretch from base 1 to 120 matches the Rfam family "5.8S ribosomal RNA", at positions 35 to 154 of the family's 154-position model. The record is from RNAcentral.